Molecule: ribosomal RNA, 508 nt
Filed under: Pichia kudriavzevii
Lineage: Eukaryota; Fungi; Ascomycota; Pichiomycetes; Pichiales; Pichiaceae
Description: SSU rRNA
Rfam family: Eukaryotic small subunit ribosomal RNA
Source: RNAcentral
CUUAAAGGAAUUGGCGGGAGGGCACCACCAGGAGUGGAGCCUGCGGCUUAAUUUGACUCAACACGGGGAAACUCACCAGGUCCAGACGUAAUAAGGAUUGACAAGUUAGAGACUUCUCUUGAUCUUACGGGUGGUGGUGCAUGGCCGUUUUUAGUCCUUGGAGUGAUUUGUCUGCUUAAUUGCGAUAACGGACGAGACCUUAACCUGCUAAAUAGGGCUGCGAGCAUCUGCUCGGGUGCUCUUCUUAGAGGGACUAUGGGUAUCAAACCCAUGGAAGUUUGAGGCAACAACAGGUCUGUGAUGCCCUUAGACGUUCUGGGCCGCACGCGCGCUACACUGACGGAGCCAGCAAGUCCAACCUUGGUCGAGAGGCCCGGGUAAUCUCGUGAAACUCCGUCGUGCUGGGGAUAGAGCAUUGUAAUUUUUGCUCUUCAACGAGGAAUUCCUAGUAAGCGCAAGUCAUCAGCUUGCGUUGAUUACGUCCCUGCCCCUUGGCACACACCGCCCG